UUGACAAUCUGACCUCAAAUCAGGUAGGACUACCGCUGA
Molecule: ribosomal RNA, 39 nt
Filed under: Cytidiella albida
Lineage: Eukaryota; Fungi; Basidiomycota; Agaricomycetes; Polyporales; Irpicaceae
Description: Phlebia albida partial 28S ribosomal RNA
Source: RNAcentral